This 425-nucleotide ribosomal RNA is filed under the name uncultured bacterium. RNAcentral describes it as "partial 16S ribosomal RNA". It matches the Rfam family "Bacterial small subunit ribosomal RNA", at positions 354 to 796 of the family's 1533-position model. The record is from RNAcentral.
GUGGGGAAUCUUGCGCAAUGGGCGAAAGCCUGACGCAGCCAUGUCGCGUGAAUGAUGAAGGUCUUAGGAUUGUAAAAUUCUUUCACCGGGGACGAUAAUGACGGUACCCGGAGAAUAAGCCCCGGCUAACUCCGUGCCAGCAGCCGCGGUAAUACGGAGGGGGCUAGCGUUGUUCGGAAUUACUGGGCGUAAAGCGCACGUAGGCGGCUUUGUAAGUUAGAGGUGAAAGCCCAGGGCUCAACCCUGGAACUGCCUUUAAGACUGCAUCGCUUGAACACGGGAGAGGUGAGUGGAAUUCCGAGUGUAGAGGUGAAAUUCGUAGAUAUUCGGAAGAACACCAGUGGCGAAGGCGACUCACUGGACCGUUGUUGACGCUGAGGUGCGAAAGCGUGGGGAGCAAACAGGAUUAGAAACCCCGGUAGUCC